RNAcentral lists this ribosomal RNA (203 nucleotides) under uncultured bacterium. Its description in RNAcentral is "partial 16S ribosomal RNA". It matches the Rfam family "Bacterial small subunit ribosomal RNA", at positions 335 to 550 of the family's 1533-position model. The record is from RNAcentral.
ACUCCUACGGGAGGCAGCAGCGGGGAAUAUUGCACAAUGGGCGCAAGCCUGAUGCAGCGACGCCGCGUGAGGGAUGACGGCCUUCGGGUUGUAAACCUCUUUCAGUAGGGAAGAAGCGAAAGUGACGGUACCUGCAGAAGAAGCGCCGGCUAACUACGUGCCAGCAGCCGCGGUAAUACGUAGGGCGCAAGCGUUAUCCGGAA